Molecule: transfer RNA, 75 nt
Filed under: Candidatus Wildermuthbacteria bacterium RIFCSPHIGHO2_02_FULL_49_9
Lineage: Bacteria; Candidatus Wildermuthiibacteriota
Also listed under: 1 other name
Description: tRNA-Val
Rfam family: tRNA
About the family: Transfer RNA (tRNA) molecules are approximately 80 nucleotides in length. Their secondary structure includes four short double-helical elements and three loops (D, anti-codon, and T loops).
Source: RNAcentral
GGACACUUAGCUCAGUGGCAGAGCACUUCAUUCACAUUGAAGGGGUCGCAGGUUCAAAUCCUGCAGUGUCCACCG